AGUGAACGCUGGCGGUAGGCCUAACACAUGCAAGUCGAACGGCAGCACAGUAAGAGCUUGCUCUUACGGGUGGCGAGUGGCGGACGGGUGAGGAAUACAUCGGAAUCUACUUUUUCGUGGGGGAUAACGUAGGGAAACUUACGCUAAUACCGCAUACGACCUACGGGUGAAAGCAGGGGAUCUUCGGACCUUGCGCGAUUGAAUGAGCCGAUGUCGGAUUAGCUAGUUGGCGGGGUAAAGGCCCACCAAGGCGACGAUCCGUAGCUGGUCUGAGAGGAUGAUAAGCCACACUGGAACUGAGACACGGUCAAGACUCCUACGGGAGGCAGCAGUGGGGAAUAUUGGACAAUGGGCGCAAGCAUGAUCCAGCCAUACCGCGUGGGUGAAGAAGGCCUUCGGGUUGUAAAGCCCUUUUGUUGGGAAAGAAAAGCAGCAGGUUAAUACCCCGCUGUUCUGACGGUACCCAAAGAAUAAGCACCGGCUAACUUCGUG
Molecule: ribosomal RNA, 492 nt
Filed under: uncultured bacterium
Lineage: Bacteria
Description: partial 16S ribosomal RNA
Rfam family: Bacterial small subunit ribosomal RNA
Source: RNAcentral